Molecule: long non-coding RNA, 171 nt
Organism: Gordionus sp. m RMFG-2023
Lineage: Eukaryota; Metazoa; Nematomorpha; Gordioida; Chordodea; Parachordodidae
Exons: 3
Source: RefSeq, a predicted model, not a curated record
AUUCCCACUCUUUCUAGAGAGUUGAACCUAAUAUUGAUUCCUCUGCAGAUAACAAGCCCUGUCUUCACCUCUCUUAAUAAUUGUACAGAUGCUGAUUAAGCAACUAUUUUCCUGCUAUCCAUUUUGCCGGGCUGCACAAUAUGUCCUUUUAUCUCUGAUGAAUAGUUUGUC